UGGGGAAUUUUGGACAAUGGGCGAAAGCCUGAUCCAGCCAUGCCGCGUGCAGGAUGAAGGCCUUCGGGUUGUAAACUGCUUUUGUACGGAACGAAAAGACUCUGGUUAAUACCUGGGGUCCAUGACGGUACCGUAAGAAUAAGCACCGGCUAACUACGUGCCAGCAGCCGCGGUAAUACGUAGGGUGCAAGCGUUAAUCGGAAUUACUGGGCGUAAAGCGUGCGCAGGCGGUUAUAUAAGACAGAUGUGAAAUCCCCGGGCUCAACCUGGGAACUGCAUUUGUGACUGUAUAGCUAGAGUACGGCAGAGGGGGAUGGAAUUCCCGCGUGUAGCAGUGAAAUGCGUAGAUAUGCGGAGGAACACCGAUGGCGAAGGCAAUCCCCUGGGCCUGUACUGACGCUCAUGCACGAAAAGCGUGGGGAGCAAACAGGAUUAGAUACCCUGGUAGUCCACGCCCUAAACGAUGUCAACUGGUUGUUGGGGUCUUCACUGACUCAGUAACGAAGCUAACGCGUGAAGUUGACCGCCUGGGGAGUACGGCCGCAAGGGUUGAAAACUUAAAGGAAUUGACGGGGGUCAUAGCUGUUUCCU
RNAcentral lists this ribosomal RNA (591 nucleotides) under uncultured bacterium. RNAcentral describes it as "partial 16S ribosomal RNA". It matches the Rfam family "Bacterial small subunit ribosomal RNA", at positions 355 to 938 of the family's 1533-position model. The record is from RNAcentral.